This 304-nucleotide long non-coding RNA is filed under the name Nicotiana benthamiana. Its description in RNAcentral is "long non-coding RNA (NBEN_LNC041659)". Lineage: Eukaryota; Viridiplantae; Streptophyta; Magnoliopsida; Solanales; Solanaceae. The record is from RNAcentral.
CUCUAUGUCCCCAACCCUCUUACUUCCUUGCUUGUGAAUGUUGACAUGAUAAUAUUCUUUGAGUUUUGUUCUGUGUAUGAUGGCUUGUCCCAAAUUGUUGUUGCUCUUAUUCCCUUUAUCCUUUCAAAACCGUUCUUUCUAAGAAACUCCUCUAUUAUUUUGCAAACUUAUUUCAAACAUGUUGUUUCAAAAUUGUUUCCAACUCAACUCUUUCAAAUCUAUGUCAAGCACUCUCACAUAUACUCUUAGACUACUAGGUUCUACCCUUUUUUGUGUAAGCCUUGCCUUGGGACCCUUGAGCUCC